GUUGCCACAUUCAUCCUCCAGAAGAUCUUGUUAGAUGACACUGGUUUGGCUUAUAUAUGUCAGACGUAUGAGCGUUUCUCCCAUGUUGCCAUGAUCUUGGGUAAGAUGGUCCUGCAGCUAUCCAAAGAGCCUUCUGCCCGUCUGCUGAAGCAUGUAGUGAGAUGUUACCUUCGACUUUCAGAUAACCCCAGGUAAACAUUUAUAGGAUGUAUAGGACUUUAGGGAAAUACUCUGCUGAACAGUUUCCUAAUCUCAUGGCAUAGCUCCUGUGUCUUUAGGACAGGGAAGUGGGGAUAUAACUGCAUUUAGUUUGUCUGAGACAGAACUUAGAUUCUUUUUAAAAUCUGAAAUGCUGAAUUUUAGUAGCCAUCAGUUUCAUCUUCUCACUGUAACUCUCCAUCCUACUGUGAAAUUCCAGAGAGUCUAGGCGAUUCCAAAGGAAACCUUAUGAUGCAUUACUCCUGUUGUUUGAAUUUUCUGUUGCUACUCUACGUGGUCAGAAAGAGAAGUAUAUUUUCAAAGAUCUCUUAAAAAGGAACACAGCCCAGAGGGCUCU
RNAcentral lists this small RNA (556 nucleotides) under Pan troglodytes (chimpanzee). Its description in RNAcentral is "retained intron". The record is from RNAcentral. Lineage: Eukaryota; Metazoa; Chordata; Mammalia; Primates; Hominidae.